RNAcentral lists this transfer RNA (76 nucleotides) under Gallionella capsiferriformans ES-2. RNAcentral describes it as "tRNA-Glu (TTC) (tRNA-Glu-TTC-1-1, tRNA-Glu-TTC-1-2)". It matches the Rfam family "tRNA". Rfam says of the family: Transfer RNA (tRNA) molecules are approximately 80 nucleotides in length. Their secondary structure includes four short double-helical elements and three loops (D, anti-codon, and T loops). The record is from RNAcentral. RNAcentral also lists the same sequence under 23 other names. Lineage: Bacteria; Pseudomonadati; Pseudomonadota; Betaproteobacteria; Nitrosomonadales; Gallionellaceae.
GUCCCUAUCGUCUAGAGGCCUAGGACAUCGCCCUUUCACGGCGGUAACACGAGUUCGAAUCUCGUUGGGGACGCCA